Molecule: ribosomal RNA, 253 nt
Filed under: uncultured prokaryote
Description: partial 16S ribosomal RNA
Rfam family: Bacterial small subunit ribosomal RNA
Source: RNAcentral
ACAGAGGGGGCGAGCGUUGUUCGGAAUUACUGGGCGUAAAGGGCGCGUAGGUGGCCUGCUAAGUCGAACGUGAAAUCCCUGGGCUCAACCCAGGAACUGCGUCCGAUACUGGUUGGCUUGAAUCCGGGAGAGGGAUGUGGAAUUCCAGGUGUAGCGGUGAAAUGCGUAGAUAUCUGGAGGAACACCGGUGGCGAAGGCGACAUCCUGGACCGGUAUUGACGCUGAGGCACGAAAGCGUGGGGAGCAAACAGGA